This is a long non-coding RNA of Spinacia oleracea (spinach), 1116 nucleotides long. RefSeq lists it as uncharacterized. The transcript has 5 exons. The record is from RefSeq and is a predicted model, not a curated record. NCBI's taxonomy places the organism in Eukaryota, Viridiplantae, Streptophyta, Magnoliopsida, Caryophyllales, Amaranthaceae.
AAGUGAGAAGGGUGUACGAUAUUCCCUUUUCACGUGCGUCCUUUUCUCCUUUCUUCUCUUUUUCCUCCGCACCAUUCAUUUCCAGAGGACAUUCUUUCUUAUCUCUACUCUCUCUGCUUUCCUCUGAAUUGCUAGCUCUAGACAGUCCUUCGCUCCUUUCUUCUACCACCCUCUUCCUCCCAAUUCAUCUUUGGAGAAUUGAAAUCAUGGUCUUCUCUCUCCUCCAUUAUCGCAUUUCUUUACAAAGGCCGGCUAGCCCAUGGACACCCACAAGUUCUCUUCGAUACUAGCACAAGACAUGAAUGAGUGGAACUUCUCUUGGAGGAACUCUGAUACUUGAGCUUGGGUACCUUGACAAUUUAAGAGCUAUAUAUAAUACUACGACAAAAACACCCCUCAGCUGCCAGUCCAGUAGAGUUUGGAUGUCUUACCAAGAUUGAGGUAUUGGAUUUGAGUGGCAAUUAUUUGACUGGAUUGGUUCUGACAGAGAUUGCAAACAUGGAGUCACUGGAACGAAUAGAUUACUUAGUGACAAACUGACAACAACUUCAAAGACACCAUCCCUCCAGAGCUUGAGGAGCAUAACCAACUGUCUGAGCUGCAGUUUAUGAAUACCUUCCAUCUGUUACCAACAGAAAAUUUGGCCAACGCACAUCCGCACUGAUCUUGUAAUGAGACAGUCAGCAACAGCAGACCAGAAAUUCUGCCUCAGUUAGAUGGUACCUCCAGUUUAUCAAGUUCAACACAACAGCCAGGGUUUAAGUGGUGGAUUGUAAUCACGUUCUAACAAGUUAUCAGAUAAUAUGACCACUAUGUAAGCCCCCUUGCUGUAGAAGCACACUAGUUAUAAACUUCGUAGAUUAGAUGAUUUCUAGUAUGAUGGCAGUGAAUUUCUUGUUCCUUAGAUAUGUCACCAAUUAAAUUAUGAUUCAAGAAAUUACAUGUACUACUAAGUAUUUGGUCCUGGUUUCAUUUCUCUCAAAACUACUCAAGACCAAAAGUGCAAAUACUAUACACUGGCAAAUAAUCCUAUCACUUGAAGAUAACACAAAACGUCCAGUUCUAGACCAGAGUUUUCAUUGUAGGCACGUAACUGUCCAACUUACUACAGGGACU